UACGGAGGGUGCGAGCGUUACCCGGAUUUACUGGGUGUAAAGGGCGUGUAGGCGGUCUCUCAAGUCCGAUGCUAAAGACCGAAGCUCAACUUCGGGGGUGCGUUGGAUACUGUGAGGCUAGACGGUCGGAGAGGGUAGCGGAAUUUCAGGAGUAGCGGUGAAAUGCGCAGAUACCGGAAGGAACGCCAAUAGCGAAAGCAGCUACCUGGACGAUUUGUGACGCUGAGGCGCGAAAGCGUGGGGAGCAAACAGG
RNAcentral lists this ribosomal RNA (253 nucleotides) under uncultured bacterium. RNAcentral's name for it is "partial 16S ribosomal RNA". It matches the Rfam family "Bacterial small subunit ribosomal RNA", at positions 524 to 776 of the family's 1533-position model. The record is from RNAcentral.